Molecule: non-coding RNA, 792 nt
Filed under: Phryganea cinerea
Lineage: Eukaryota; Metazoa; Arthropoda; Insecta; Trichoptera; Phryganeidae
Source: RNAcentral
AGAUUUAAAGUUAAUUCUAGCUUUGAUAUUUAUUGUUUAUUUAAUUAAAUUAUAUAUAAAUUUUUGUAUUAUUUUUAAUAAUCUUUAAAAGAUUAUUAUUAUAAAUUUAUAAAUAUAAUAUUUAAAAUUAAAAAUUAAAGAAAUUUAGAUUUAGUAAUAUAAAAAUUAUUAAUAAAAUUUGUGCCAGCAAUUGCGGUUAUACUAAUAAUAAAAUAAAUAUUAUUUAUUAUAAUUAAUAUAGAAUUUAUUUAAAAUAAAAUUUAAAUUUAUGUGGUAAAAUAUUUAAAUUUAAAUAAAUUUUAAUUAUAAAUUUAUAUGAAGUUAAUAAAUAUAUAAAUAAACUAGGAUUAGAUACCCUAUUAUAAAAUUAAAAUAAUUAAAAUAAGUAGUAAUAGAUAUAGUCUUGAAACUUAAAGAAUAUGGCAGUAUUUUAAUCUAUUUAGAGGAACCUGUUUAUUAAUUGAUACUCCACAAUUUAUUUUACUUAAUUUUAUUUAAUUUGUAUAUCGUUGUUAUAAAAAUAUUUUUUAGAAAUGAAAAUUUUAAAUUUUUAAUAAAAAAUUAUAUCAAAUCAAGAUGCAGUUUAUAGUUAAGAAUUUAAUGGGUUAUAAUAAAUUAAUUUUUAGAUUAAUAUAAUGAAAAAUAAAUAUGAAAUUAGAUUUAAAAGUAAUUUAAAUUAAUUAAUUUAAAUGAUAAAAGUUCUAAAAUAUGCACAUAUUGCCCGUCACUUUCAUUUUAAAUUGAAAUAAGUCGUAACAUAGUAGAAGUACUGGAAAGUGUUUCUAGAAAGAU